AAACCAACAGGGAUUGCCCUAGUAACGGCGAGUGAAGCGGCAACAGCUCAAAUUUGAAAUCUGGCCCUCGGGUCCGAGUUGUAAUUUGUAGAGGAUGCUUUUGGCGCGGUGCCUUCCGAGUUCCCUGGAACGGGACGCCUUAGAGGGUGAGAGCCCCGUAUGGUUGGACACCAAGCCUCUGUAUAGCUCCUUCGACGAGUCGAGUAGUUUGGGAAUGCUGCUCUAAAUGGGAGGUAAAUUUCUUCUAAAGCUAAAUAUUGGCCAGAGACCGAUAGCGCACAAGUAGAGUGAUCGAAAGAUGAAAAGCACUUUGAAAAGAGGGUUAAAUAGCACGUGAAAUUGUUGAAAGGGAAGCGUUUGCGACUAGACCUUUUCCUAGCGGAUCAGCCGGUGUUUUCACCGGUGCACUUCGCUAGGUUUAGGCCAGCAUCGGUUUCCGUAGGGGGAUAAAAGCUCUGGGAAUGUGGCUCCUCCGGGAGUGUUAUAGCCCUCUGUAUAAUACCCUUACGGGGACCGAGGACCGCGCUUCGGCAAGGAUGCUGGCGUAAUGGUCGUCAACGAC
RNAcentral lists this ribosomal RNA (562 nucleotides) under Xylaria anisopleura. Its description in RNAcentral is "eukaryotic LSU rRNA". It matches the Rfam family "Eukaryotic large subunit ribosomal RNA", at positions 62 to 648 of the family's 3401-position model. Lineage: Eukaryota; Fungi; Ascomycota; Sordariomycetes; Xylariales; Xylariaceae. The record is from RNAcentral.